UACGUAGGGGGCAAGCGUUGUCCGGAAUCAUUGGGCGUAAAGCGCGUGUAGGCGGCUCGGUAAGUCCGCUCUGAAAGUCCAGGGCUCAACCCUGGGAUGCGGGUGGAUACUGCCGGGCUCGAGUCCGGAAGAGGCGAGUGGAAUUCCCGGUGUAGCGGUGAAAUGCGCAGAUAUCGGGAGGAACACCAAUGGCGAAGGCAGCUCGCUGGGACGUGACUGACGCUGAGACGCGAAAGCGUGGGUAGCAAACAGG
This 253-nucleotide ribosomal RNA is filed under the name uncultured bacterium. RNAcentral describes it as "partial 16S ribosomal RNA". It matches the Rfam family "Bacterial small subunit ribosomal RNA", at positions 524 to 776 of the family's 1533-position model. The record is from RNAcentral.